AACGAACGCUGGCGGCAUGCCUAACACAUGCAAGUCGAACGAGACCUUCGGGUCUAGUGGCGCACGGGUGCGUAACGCGUGGGAAUCUGCCCUUGGGUUCGGAAUAACAGUUAGAAAUGACUGCUAAUACCGGAUAAUGUCUUCGGACCAAAGAUUUAUCGCCCAGGGAUGAGCCCGCGUAGGAUUAGCUAGUUGGUGAGGUAAAGGCUCACCAAGGCGACGAUCCUUAGCUGGUCUGAGAGGAUGAUCAGCCACACUGGGACUGAGACACGGCCCAGACUCCGGUACGGAGGCAGCAGUGGGGAAUAUUGGACAAUGGGCGAAAGCCUGAUCCAGCAAUGCCGCGUGAGUGAUGAAGGCCUUAGGGUUGUAAAGCUCUUUUACCCGGGAUGAUAAUGACAGUACCGGGAGAAUAAGCCCCGGCUAACUCCGUGCCAGC
This 439-nucleotide ribosomal RNA is filed under the name uncultured bacterium. Its description in RNAcentral is "bacterial SSU rRNA". It matches the Rfam family "Bacterial small subunit ribosomal RNA", at positions 29 to 512 of the family's 1533-position model. The record is from RNAcentral.